AACGAACGCUGGCGGCGUGCUUAACACAUGCAAGUCGAACGGAAAGGCCCUGCUUUUGUGGGGUGCUCGAGUGGCGAACGGGUGAGUAACACGUGAGUAACCUGCCCUUGACUUUGGGAUAACUUCAGGCAACUGGGGCUAAUACCGGCUAGGAGCUCCUGCUUCUUGGUGGGGGUUGGAAAGUUUCGGCGGUUGGGGAUGGACUCGCGGCUUAUCAGCUUGCUGGUUGGGUAGUGGCUUACCAAGGCUUUGACGGGUAGCCGGCCUGGGAGGGUGACCGGGCACAUUGGGACUGAGAUACGGCCCAGACUCCUACGGGAGGCAGGAGUGGGGAAGAUUGCACAAUGGGCGGAAGCCUGAGGCAGAAACGCCGCGUGCGGGAUGACGGCCUUCGGGUUGUAAACCGCAUUCGCCUGUGACGAAGCGUGAGUGACGGUAAUGGGUAAAGAAGCACCGGCUAACUACGUG
This 468-nucleotide ribosomal RNA is filed under the name uncultured bacterium. Its description in RNAcentral is "partial 16S ribosomal RNA". It matches the Rfam family "Bacterial small subunit ribosomal RNA", at positions 28 to 507 of the family's 1533-position model. The record is from RNAcentral.